ACUGAGUGGCGGACGGGUGAGUAACGCGUGGGUAACCUGCCUCAUACAGGGGGAUAACAGUUAGAAAUGACUGCUAAUACCGCAUAAGACCACAGUACCGCAUGGUACAGGGGUAAAAACUCCGGUGGUAUGAGAUGGACCCGCGUCUGAUUAGGUAGUUGGUGGGGUAACGGCCUACCAAGCCAACGAUCAGUAGCCGACCUGAGAGGGUGACCGGCCACAUUGGGACUGAGACACGGCCCAA
RNAcentral lists this ribosomal RNA (244 nucleotides) under uncultured bacterium. RNAcentral describes it as "partial 16S ribosomal RNA". It matches the Rfam family "Bacterial small subunit ribosomal RNA", at positions 90 to 334 of the family's 1533-position model. The record is from RNAcentral.